RNAcentral lists this ribosomal RNA (372 nucleotides) under uncultured Glomeromycotina. RNAcentral's name for it is "eukaryotic LSU rRNA". Lineage: Eukaryota; Fungi; Glomeromycota. The record is from RNAcentral.
UUGAAAGGGAAACGAUUGAAGUCAGUCGUACCUGCGGGUAAUCAGCCUUUUGGGCAUGAUUCUGUGGAGCGUGAGGAGUUAAACGCCUUCAUGCCUGCAUAUUCGUGUACUUUGGGUGUACUUGCCCGUGUGGUUAGUUAACAUCAAUUUUGGUUAUCAUAAAAUGGCUGGAGGAAUGUAGCUUCGAUUUCGAUUGAAGUGUUAUAGCCUUCGGCAGAUGUGAUGAUCGGGAUUGAGGAUUGCAACGGAUACCCUUCGGGGCUACCUGUCUGAUCUCUGGUCGUUGCUCUGGUGCCGAAAGCGUGCUUACGGUUAUCAAAGUCGAUGGUUAAUAGGUUAGAACGGGUUAAAUUCGUUAAGGAUGUUGACGUA